This 540-nucleotide ribosomal RNA is filed under the name Xylaria sp. 12 NK-2011. RNAcentral's name for it is "eukaryotic LSU rRNA". The stretch from base 170 to 323 matches the Rfam family "5.8S ribosomal RNA". Lineage: Eukaryota; Fungi; Ascomycota; Sordariomycetes; Xylariales; Xylariaceae. The record is from RNAcentral.
CGUAGGUGACCUGCGGAGGAUCAUUACCUAGAGUUUGUAGACUUCGGUCUGCUACCUCUUACCCAUGUCUUUUGAGUACCUUCGUUUCCUCGGCGGGUCCGCCCGCCGAUUGGACAACAUUCAAACCCUUUGCAGUUGCAAUCAGCGUCUGAAAAAACAUAAUAGUUACAACUUUCAACAACGGAUCUCUUGGUUCUGGCAUCGAUGAAGAACGCAGCGAAAUGCGAUAAGUAGUGUGAAUUGCAGAAUUCAGUGAAUCAUCGAAUCUUUGAACGCACAUUGCGCCCCUUGGUAUUCCAUGGGGCAUGCCUGUUCGAGCGUCAUUUGUACCUUCAAGCUCUGCUUGGUGUUGGGUGUUUGUCUCGCCUCUGCGUGUAGACUCGCCUUAAAACAAUUGGCAGCCGGCGUAUUGAUUUCGGAGCGCAGUACAUCUCGCGCUUUGCACUCAUAACGACGACGUCCAAAAGUACAUUUUUACACUCUUGACCUCGGAUCAGGUAGGGAUACCCGCUGAACUUAAGCAUAUCAAUAAGCGGAGGA